CGAUUAAUAUUUUCAUCAGCUUAAAGAGAUCAAGCUUAAAUGCCACGAGUUCUCCUGGCGCGUCCGAUAGCCGCAGGUGUUUCCUCCCUCUCCUGCCGGUGAUGCGCCCUCCUCGCCUCGCUUCUCGCACCACGAGAGCGAGGCUUUUU
RNAcentral lists this small RNA (149 nucleotides) under Rhizobium album. Its description in RNAcentral is "Rhizobiales sRNA Atu_C7". It matches the Rfam family "Rhizobiales sRNA Atu_C7". Lineage: Bacteria; Pseudomonadati; Pseudomonadota; Alphaproteobacteria; Hyphomicrobiales; Rhizobiaceae. The record is from Rfam by way of RNAcentral.